CCCUACGGGGGGCAGCAGUGGGGGAUAUUGCACAAUGGGGGGAACCCUGAUGCAGCGACGCCGCGUGGGUGAAGAAGCGCCUCGGCGCGUAAAGCCCUGUCAGCAGGGAAGAAAAUGACGGUACCUGAAGAAGAAGCCCCGGCUAACUACGUGCCAGCAGCCGCGGUAAUACGUAGGGGGCAAGAGUUAUCCGGAUUUACUGGGUGUAAAGGGGGCGCAGACGGCGAUGCAAGCCAGGAGUGAAAGCCCGGGGCCCAACCCCGGGACUGCUCUUGGAACUGCGUGGCUGGAGUGCAGGAGGGGCG
RNAcentral lists this ribosomal RNA (305 nucleotides) under uncultured bacterium. RNAcentral describes it as "partial 16S ribosomal RNA". It matches the Rfam family "Bacterial small subunit ribosomal RNA", at positions 337 to 659 of the family's 1533-position model. The record is from RNAcentral.